AUUUAAAACUAUUAAGUUUUUGAUUGUUCUAUACCUAAUAUUAGGGACAUAAUAACCACAUAUUCAUGUCAAAAGAAGAAAUGCUAAUCCAAUACCUACUAAAUCAUAAGUAGGUGGUUAUGGACAAAUAUAACGUUAUCAUAUAAUACUAGUACACUAGUUAUGUAUGAAAUUAAUCAUACACGGAAGUCUUCUCCUUUCUUAUUUUGGCUAUUGGAACUUCCGAUUUUGCUGGUGAUUAUCUUCUUUUCCUCGCUGGAACUUCUGCUUUGCUUCGUGAUUAUCUUCUUCUCGUUUAGGUCGGUUGCCGCCUUUCUCCUCCAAUGCGGUUCGUUUUUGUUUUCUUUAUAUUCUUCUUUGCUUCUUUGAUAGCUGUAAGCUAGAGGCUUCAUUUUUUCAAUUCUUUCCCACACCAAAGAAAAACAGAUGGGCAAAAGGGGCACACUCGCAUCGGCCAUGGCAACAGAUUGACCUGCAAUUCCAAAGUCCAACCUUCACCAAUGGGGGAACACGAUUUCCGAUUGCCAUGAACCUUCUCCUUCCGAUCACUAUCAGUCAACGUCGCCAUGAUCAAUACCACCACCGCCGCAGCCACCACCACCAACACCGCCUCUCAACCUUCUGCUUCUUCUUCUUCUAACACCGCCGCCCAAUCUCUCGGUCUCAAAAACUUCUUCAAAACUCCUGAAGGCUGGCCUCGCCAAGUCCAUCACCUAGAUAACCUUAGCACACAUCAAGGAUCAACCAGUUCAGGCAGCAACAAACACUCCUCCUUUGCAACCUAACUCAAGCUAUAGUGUUGCAAGCAGUGGAGUGCGAUAUGUGACAUCAAAGUUCUUAGGAAGCAGUGGAAAUGGCAGCCGAAUGCUUGGAUUUGGUGGAGGAAAUGGCACAAGCAGUAAAGCAAAUGGUGGAGCAAGCAAAAGUAGACAUGUGGGAGGAGUACUUACUAAUGGUGUCAACAACUCUACACCUGGUUCCCUAACCAGGUUGUUCAACAGAACAUGAAGUUGGUGCAAUCCCCCGAUGGCAGAAAGUGGCUGUAUGGAGAAGUUCAUGGCAAAAUUUUCAAGUCUGUUUAUUAUUAGAUUUUUUCUCCGAUCUCUAUCUUUAGUCAUUGGUUUCACCAUAUCUGCAAGCAAUUAAAUAUAAUACGUAAACCAUCUCAAAACAUUUUUACUUUUUGGGUUCUUUUCUAGGGUAAAAUACACUAAAUAACAACAUACUUUCAAUGA
Lactuca sativa (garden lettuce) is the source of this 1235-nucleotide non-coding RNA. The record is from RefSeq and is a predicted model, not a curated record. Lineage: Eukaryota; Viridiplantae; Streptophyta; Magnoliopsida; Asterales; Asteraceae.